AAUCAACGCUGGCGGCGUGCCUAACACAUGCAAGUCGAACGCGGCUUUCCUCGCAAGGGGAAAGCUGAGUGGCAAACGGGUGAGUAACACGUGGGUGACCUGCCUUCGAGUGGGGGAGUAACGUUCCGAAAGGGACGCUAAUACCGCAUAACAUCCCGUCUUUUAACAGAUGGACAUCAAAGCCUGGACCGUAAGGCCAGGCGCUUGAAGAGGGCCGCGUCUGAUUAGCUAGUUGGGGGUAAUGGCUCACCAAGGCAACGAUCAGUAUCCGGCCUGAGAGGGCGGACGGACACACUGGGACUGAGACACGGCCCAGACUCCUACGGGAGGCAGCAGUGGGGAAUUGUUCGCAAUGGGCGCAAGCCUGACGACGCAACGCCGCGUGGAGGAUGAAG
This 395-nucleotide ribosomal RNA is filed under the name uncultured bacterium. RNAcentral's name for it is "bacterial SSU rRNA". It matches the Rfam family "Bacterial small subunit ribosomal RNA", at positions 32 to 413 of the family's 1533-position model. The record is from RNAcentral.